UGAGCAAUCUGCCCUUCUCAUCGGAAUAAGCGUUGGAAACGACGUCUAAUGCCGAAUACGACCUCCUUUCGCAUGAUCGGAGGUGGAAAGCUCCGGCGGAGAAGGAUGAGCUCGCGGCCUAUCAGCUAGUUGGUGUGGGUAAUGGCCCACCAAGGCGACGACGGGUAGCCGGCCUAAGAGGGUGACCGGCCACACUGGGACUGAGACACGGCCCAGACCUCCUACGGGAGGNAG
Molecule: ribosomal RNA, 234 nt
Filed under: uncultured bacterium
Lineage: Bacteria
Description: partial 16S ribosomal RNA
Rfam family: Bacterial small subunit ribosomal RNA
Source: RNAcentral